AAACAAACAGUUUGUCGAAGAUCAAAUUCUUCAAUUGACUCUAGUAACUGGCAAGUGAAAAUAUUUGCCCUGGUGUGUGGUGUGGACUUUUAAAGUCCUGCAGUGGCUAGUGACGCAAAACGUGAAAUGCUAUGUAACAUUACAACUGAUAAUACUCUUUUUUUGCAAAGUUUAGUGUACAUUGAUACAUUUCCUCCUAUGUUUACAUGUGAGAUCUGUAUCUGCUAGACAUGUUUAGAUGAGAGGGGGUUUGAAUGUCUAGCAUUUGUGUUUGGUUUUUAUUCAUUAUAUUCUCAGUAUUAAAGUGUAUGAAUCCGAAUGGGGAAACUGUACAACUCUGACUUAGGCAUUCAAAAAAAGCAAAGGAGCAAAUCAGAGUACAUAGCAAGUUAAAAAGGUUAUUGUAUCGGUUUCAUGUUUUUCUUUUAAUCAGUUCUUGGUUUUCAUAACCCUGUACAGAGAAGUCUGGUUCUUAAAGAUGCUGUGUUCGUAUGUAAUGUCCUGCUCUUGUGAAAUGAGUGAGACAUUCUAUUUUUGUACAGGAUUCUUGAACUGGUAUGCUUUAUAUAGGAUAUCAAGGGAAUAAUUUUGUUCUUCAUAUGGG
Molecule: non-coding RNA, 604 nt
Organism: Pelobates cultripes (western spadefoot toad)
Lineage: Eukaryota; Metazoa; Chordata; Amphibia; Anura; Pelobatidae
Source: the annotation of a GenBank genome assembly